RNAcentral lists this transfer-messenger RNA (192 nucleotides) under Thermoanaerobacterales bacterium. Its description in RNAcentral is "partial transfer-messenger RNA". It matches the Rfam family "transfer-messenger RNA", at positions 1 to 204 of the family's 374-position model. Rfam says of the family: Bacterial tmRNA, also known as 10Sa RNA or SsrA, is named for its dual tRNA and mRNA-like properties. Its role is to liberate the mRNA from a stalled ribosome. Lineage: Bacteria; Bacillati; Bacillota; Clostridia; Thermoanaerobacterales. The record is from RNAcentral.
GGGGGCGUAUUUGGUUUCGACGGGGAUGAUAGAAUCGGGAGCAGCGAGCCGUGGGUCGCACGGUACCACGUAAAAAAACCGGCAAUUAAAUAUAAACGCAAACGAAAAUUACGCUUUAGCUGCGUAAUUAACGCAGCUCGUUCAACCCGGGCUUCCCGCAGUUCGGGAUUGGGCGUCAUCCAAGCGGGGAAC